RNAcentral lists this non-coding RNA (27 nucleotides) under Homo sapiens (human). Lineage: Eukaryota; Metazoa; Chordata; Mammalia; Primates; Hominidae. The record is from RNAcentral.
UAACUUAAGUCGUGAGGAAUACAACGG